Molecule: ribosomal RNA, 437 nt
Filed under: uncultured bacterium
Lineage: Bacteria
Description: bacterial SSU rRNA
Rfam family: Bacterial small subunit ribosomal RNA
Source: RNAcentral
GAUGAACGCUGGCGGUAUGCCUAACACAUGCAAGUCGUACGAGAGUUUUUAACUCUAGUGGCGGACGGGUGAGUAACACGUGAGAAUUUGCCUUUAGGAGGGGGAUAACAAUUGGAAACGAAUGCUAAUACCCCAUAUGCUUUUGAGUGAAAUGGAUUUUAUCCGCCUAGAGAGAAGCUCGCGGCUGAUUAGCUUGUUGGUAAGGUAAGAGCUUACCAAGGCGACGAUCAGUAUCUGGUUUGAGAGGACGAUCAGACACACUGGAACUGAGACACGGCCCAGACUCCUACGGGAGGCAGCAGUGGGGAAUCUUAGACAAUGGGGGAAACCCUGAUCUAGCCAUGCCGCGUGAGCGAUGAAGGCCUUAGGGUUGUAAAGCUCUUUCAGCUGGGAAGAUAAUGACUGUACCAGCAGAAGAAGCCCCGGCUAACUCCGUG